UUUUUUUCUGGACUUCCAAGCAUAUUUUUUCAGAUGCCGUUUCAAAAUCCUUGUUGAAUCCCCAGAGAUAUUUAAAAUUGAGAUGUCUGUCACAAGCACGAUCAACAGUGCUUUUUGUAUUUAAUCAUUCUGUAAGCCGAAAUAUUUUGGAAGCACUGAAAGAUGUGAACAUCAUUUCAGUGGACAUAUAUAGAUGUUUACUCUAAAUAUUUCAAGGAAUAUGACAUGAUAUUACAUCUUCCUCCCUCCCUCCCUCCUUCCCUCCCUCCCUCCCUCCCUUCCUUCCUUCCUUCCGUCCUUCCGUCCUUCCGUCCUUCCAUCCUUCCGUCCUUCCUUCCUUCCGUCCUUUUCCUUUCUUUCUUUCUCUGCCAACUUUAAUAUGAUGCAAUUUCUGUUGAGACGUAAUUGUGACCAACCAGUGACAAGACUGACCUUUAGAGAACUGCAGUUUAGAUGACACUCUGUAACAAGAGAUUUGAGACAUGGAUCAGAAGGGAUGAAACCAUGUAAAACUUUCCUGCAAGUUCCAGAAAGUUUGGUAAUAAAGAUCAGGGCUGGAAUUGGUGUAGUUUUCCUGUAUUUCUCACCAUGGGAUAUGUCAUUUCUUGAAGGAAUGAAAUUAUUCUGCAUUAUACAAUGAAUCAAGUGAUAGCAUGGAGAUGAUAUGGGAUUAGGAGAUCUUUGAUUUUAAAUUGUUACUGAACAGCUUGACACCAAAAGAUUUUGCUGCUUAUUGUAGCCUCAACCCAGAGAUGUCACAGUGCUGCCUGUCUCUAUUACAGAACUCCUAUCACAGUGAAGCAGACUUGCCUUGUUGCUCUGGAGCUGGCCCCUUCUGACUCGGAGUUAAGACAAAUUAGAACUCUUCUCUGUGGGUUUGCAGAGCAUCCAGCACAAGUCUAUUUCAUGUACUGGGUUUCUGUCUUUUCGAAUACAAUUUUCUUGAUCUGGUCUAGAUCCCUUCAUAACAGGGGGUCCAUCAUCUCUCACCUCUUGUUUGGCAGACCCUACACUAAGUAAUGCUGCACAGGGUUAAGAGAAAAGGGAGAAAGAACCAGAGAGAAGGCAUGACAGCUGUGCUGCAAAAGGAGACUAUAGCAGUCCUUUUUAGUCUACAAUGUGUUUAGCAUUCACACUUCACAUUUUAGGAGAAACUUUUAUCACAUCUAUGACAGACACAUCACAGGUGGGGAAACCGAAUGAAAAAUAAUAAUUAAAAAUGCUUGGACAUGGCUGAGUUUGUAUUUUGUUCUAAUUCAUUUUGGCAAUUUACUUUUUCCAAAUAUUCUUUUAAUGUUUAUAAUGUAUGAAUUUAAUCUGUGAACCUUUUCCCUCAAAUUUCAGCCUCACUUAUAUCUUGAAUCAAGUCACUCAUCUCUAGCAUUUGCAAUUUGCUAGUCAACAGCUGUGUGAAUAAUUACAAUGAUUGAUGGAAAAGGAAUUCCUUUUGGUAGGAAUGUUUAAAGGAUAGUUUUCUAAGAGAAAACAUGGGAAGGAUGUAAAUGCGGGUCCUAGUUCUAUUCACUAGCUCCUAUUACAGACAUUCUGAGCAUUUCUGAAGGUGCUUUUUAUGCCUUUUUGUCCUAAUAGAUCACUCAAAGACAGUGCAGACUAAGA
RNAcentral lists this long non-coding RNA (1617 nucleotides) under Anser brachyrhynchus (Pink-footed goose). RNAcentral's name for it is "lncRNA (ENSABRG00000018333.1)". Lineage: Eukaryota; Metazoa; Chordata; Aves; Anseriformes; Anatidae. The record is from RNAcentral.